AUAUCGGAGAUGAAGUUCUCCCUGGUCACUGACCAAAACCGCUUAGGCUGAUGACUUCUGCA
RNAcentral lists this non-coding RNA (62 nucleotides) under Ezakiella massiliensis. RNAcentral describes it as "Fluoride riboswitch". It matches the Rfam family "Fluoride riboswitch aptamer (crcB RNA motif)", at positions 10 to 58 of the family's 64-position model. The record is from RNAcentral. Lineage: Bacteria; Bacillati; Bacillota; Tissierellia.